Molecule: long non-coding RNA, 1459 nt
Filed under: Marmota monax (woodchuck)
Lineage: Eukaryota; Metazoa; Chordata; Mammalia; Rodentia; Sciuridae
Source: RNAcentral
GUUUAUCUUAACAUCCUCCCCCAAACCCAGCAGCCUUCAAUAAUGACUACUGGGAGUUGGUGUAUAUAUGUAUAUAUAUAUAUGUGUAUAUAUAUAUAUAUAUAUAUAUAUAUAUAUAUAUGUAUAUAUAUCCCAGCAAACUUUUUUCCUCUAGUAGGAUUACUCUGAGACAGGUUCUCUGAAUUGACUACCCAAAUUCCCUAGAUCAAAUUUCAGUGUAUCAAAAGCACCUGAGGGCUUGUUAGACCAGAUUUCCAGGCCCAUGUGCAGGCUUUCUGAUUCAUUUAGCUCAGAGUAGGGCCUAAAAUUCUGCAUUUCUAACCAGUGCUCCAGUGUUGCUGAUGCUGUUCAACCAUGAACCACACUUUUAAAAUCUGUUUUUGCUCUUUGUAACUCACAUAUCAGCCUCGUUGUUACCUGAGAUCAUCUCGCAAAUGAAAUAUUAGACUCUGUCCUUUUGGGGGGCCUGCUUCCAGAAAAAGACACACAAAUACACUACUACCUAGAUUGUUAUUCUUGGUAUGUUACACAUGAGAACCUUGUUGCUUAGAGAUUAGGCUACUUGUCCCAGAUCACACAACUGGAAAAUUCUAGUUGUUAAUUUCUGCAUGAUACUCUUUGGUAUAAUGCUUUCCCCAUAUAAAGCACUCUACAAAUGUCAGUAGAAUUAAAUGCAAUGGUGUCAAUCAACUAUCUCACAAGGAUUGAAAACAGAACCAGCUUACUUUGGAAGCCUGAAAAGAUUUCUUGACAAGUACUUCAUGUUUUAGAAUAGAACCAUGCAUCUGAAAAGAUGACCAGACUUGUUCAUGCAAGUCUCCUAACACCUGAGGAAUAGGACUGGCUUGGCUCUGCAUUGACACCAUGGUCUUCUGGUGAAACUCAGGUCUCCUGUUGCACUCUGAAAACUCAAAAGAUAGCCCAGAGAAGUUUAUAGCUGCUUGACAGCUGGAGUCCAAAAAUCCUACUGCCCCCCUCUGGAGAUAAUUAGACCCACUGACUGCUAUCAGUACUGUACUUUGAUUCCUUAUUUUAUAUUAGCCAAGAGCCCAGAUCCAUCUCUUCUCUCCAAUAUGUAUCAUCUUUAUCUCAGUUCACCACUCUUAAAGAAUUUUGUUGUUAUCUCUAUUUUUUUGCUUCUGCUUUUUGUGGAUGAUGGGGAUUUUUUUCCCCACACAAAACAAAGCAUAUGUUAUAGUUUUUGAGUGGUUUUAUGAUUCAAUCACUCUACUCUUUCAAGAGUCUGUCAAAAAUUUAGAGAUGGUUGAAUACUCAAAGCUCAAAAUGAGAUAGGACUCUGGCUUCACAGAUCAGUCAAUCACUGAGCACUGGGUGCCCAGAGAGAAUUGUACAUAACAGGAAAAUAAUAUAUAAUUGCGUGAACAAUUCACUUUAUUAGUUUCCUUGGGAUUAAGCCUGUACCAUCUAUAGUAGCUUUGACAACAAAGAAAAGAAAAAA